Molecule: long non-coding RNA, 579 nt
Organism: Salvia splendens (bonfire salvia)
Lineage: Eukaryota; Viridiplantae; Streptophyta; Magnoliopsida; Lamiales; Lamiaceae
Exons: 3
Source: RefSeq, a predicted model, not a curated record
UAUGGUUGAGUAUUUAGAGAAAUCAAAAUAGACACUGGUUGCAUUAAGAAGCAACAAUACAUACAUGAAGAAAAUUGGUAAGACUGAUAUAGGUUUCAAAAGUUUGGACUUGAAACGGGACAAAUGCCACUUAGAAGGAAAAGCCAUGCAAUUUUACAAGAUCAUAAAGAAGAGACUGAAUAUGUAGUUGAUGAUUACAUCAUUAUCCAGCGAGAACAAGUUAGAUAUGUGUCAAGAGGUACCAUGAAUAUGUUCAAAUGAAAAUCUCACUUAACUGACACUUCCAACUUUCCAAAUUUGAAAUAAAUAGGCUGUGGGGUUGAUCCAGGCUAGUAACUAAUUCAAGUAAACGUUAUUCAAAAUACAUCUUAUACCAGGAAUACCAAGGCUUAUGUGGUUUCUGAUAAUAUCAAAAACUAUACAAACUAGCCAGCGCUUGCAUAGACACCAUAUACAACGAAAACAAUAAUCUACGGUAUCUACCAUAAGAAUACAAUAUGGUAUGCAUAUACCCAGCCCCAUACCCAUUUCAAGAACGAAACUCCAACCCGAGGGCCAUCGAAAGCAAAAUAAGAAAUC